This 503-nucleotide ribosomal RNA is filed under the name uncultured bacterium. Its description in RNAcentral is "partial 16S ribosomal RNA". It matches the Rfam family "Bacterial small subunit ribosomal RNA", at positions 30 to 523 of the family's 1533-position model. The record is from RNAcentral.
AUUGAACGCUGGCGGCAGGCUUAACACAUGCAAGUCGAGCGGGGUGAUGGUGCUUGCACUAUCACUUAGCGGCGGACGGGUGAGUAAUGCUUAGGAAUCUGCCUAUUAGUGGGGGACAACAUCUCGAAAGGGAUGCUAAUACCGCAUACGUCCUACGGGAGAAAGCAGGGGAUCACUUGUGACAUUGCGCUAAUAGAUGAGCCUAAGUCGGAUUAACUAGUUGGUGGGGUAACGGCCUACCAAGGCGACGAUCUGUAGCGGGUCUGAGAGGAUGAUCCGCCACACUGGGACUGAGACACGGCUCAGACUCCUACGGGAGGCAGCAGUGGGGAAUAUUGGACAAUGGGGGGAAACCUGAUCCAGCCAUGCCGCGUGUGUGAAGAAGGCCUUAUGGUUGUAAAGCACUUUAAGCGAGGAGGAGGCUCUUUUGGUUAAUACCCAAGAUGAGUGGACGUUACUCGCAGAAUAAGCACCGGCUAACUCUGUGCCAGCCGCCGCGGUAA